RNAcentral lists this ribosomal RNA (497 nucleotides) under uncultured bacterium. Its description in RNAcentral is "partial 16S ribosomal RNA". It matches the Rfam family "Bacterial small subunit ribosomal RNA", at positions 28 to 507 of the family's 1533-position model. The record is from RNAcentral.
GAUGAACGCUGGCGGCGUGCCUAAUACAUGCAAGUCGAGCGAACAGACGAGGAGCUUGCUCCUUCGACGUUAGCGGCGGACGGGUGAGUAACACGUAGGUAACCUACCUAUAAGACUGGGAUAACUUCGGGAAACCGGAGCUAAUACCGGAUAAUAUUUCGAACCGCAUGGUUCGAUAGUGAAAGAUGGCUUUGCUAUCACUUAUAGAUGGACCUGCGCCGUAUUAGCUAGUUGGUAAGGUAACGGCUUACCAAGGCAACGAUACGUAGCCGACCUGAGAGGGUGAGCGGCCACACUGGAACUGAGACACGGUCCAGACUCCUACGGGAGGCAGCAGUAGGGAAUCUGCCGCAAGGGGCGAAAGCCUGACGGAGCAACGCCGCGUGAGUGAUGAAGGUCUUCGGAUCGUAAAACUCUGUUAUUAGGGAAGAACAAACGUGUAAGUAACUGUGCACGUCUUGACGGUACCUAAUCAGAAAGCCACGGCUAACUACGUG